RNAcentral lists this ribosomal RNA (253 nucleotides) under uncultured bacterium. Its description in RNAcentral is "partial 16S ribosomal RNA". It matches the Rfam family "Bacterial small subunit ribosomal RNA", at positions 524 to 776 of the family's 1533-position model. The record is from RNAcentral.
UACGUAGGGUGCGAGCGUUAAUCGGAAUUACUGGGCGUAAAGCGUGCGCAGGCGGUUUUUUAAGACAGAUGUGAAAUCCCCGGGCUCAACCUGGGACCUGCAUUUGUGACUGGAUAGCUAGAGUACGGUAGAGGGGGAUGGAAUUCCGCGUGUAGCAGUGAAAUGCGUAGAUAUGCGGAGGAACACCGAUGGCGAAGGCAGUCCCCUGGACCUGUACUGACGCUCAUGCACGAAAGCGUGGGGAGCAAACAGG